This 728-nucleotide ribosomal RNA is filed under the name Aphelenchoides sp. RH-2018. RNAcentral describes it as "partial 28S ribosomal RNA". It matches the Rfam family "Eukaryotic large subunit ribosomal RNA", at positions 381 to 953 of the family's 3401-position model. Lineage: Eukaryota; Metazoa; Nematoda; Chromadorea; Rhabditida; Aphelenchoididae. The record is from RNAcentral.
AAGAGAGUGCAAGAGAACGUGAAACCGUUAUAGUGGAAGCGGAUAGAGUUGACGUAUCCAGUGCGUAUUCAGCUGUUUCGCGGGGCAAUUUGUGGGUUCGGAGUUCUGCAAAGUCUCCUGCCCGCAUUGUUGUCUUGUGGAACGGUGCAUUUGCGUACAGAGUGCGCCGAAUCGAUUAAGCUCGCCGUUUGAGGGGUGCCAAGUGGACUGGUCUUCGGACCAGAAACCUGGGCUCUCGGAUGACGGAUGGGUUUGAUUGGCAAAUGGAGUUGGUAUUUCGUGGCAGUCGUUGGUGGUUGGGGCAGCUAGCGUACGAUGCGUGCGUCUUGCGUUUUUUGCCUUCGUCGCCGGCGGUUGUUGCUCUUCUCCGAAUUCGGUGUUUAGUCAAUCACCUAUUUGACCCGUCUUGAAACACGGACCAAGGAGUUUAAGGUGUACGCAAGUCAUUGGCGGUAGAAAGUCAAAGGCGUAAUGAAAGUGGGACACUUGGUGUCUGCGAUGUGAGCCUUGUCCGUUUCGACGGGCUCGGCGCAACAUCGACCCAUGACUAGGACUUGUUCUGUUGUGGAGUCUGAGCGUACGCUUUGAGACCCGAAAGAUGGUGAACUAUGCCUGAACAGGACGAAGUCAGAGGAAACUCUGAUGGAAGUCCGAAGCGGUUCUGACGUGCAAAUCGAUCGUCUGAUUUGGGUAUAGGGGCGCAAGACUAAUCGAACCAUCUAGUACUG